CGGAUCGGAGUCUGCAACCCGACUCCGUGAAGCUGGAUUCGCUAGUAAUCGCGCAUCAGCCAUGGCGCGGUGAAUACGUUCCCGGGCCUUGUACACACCGCCCGUCAAGCCAUGGGAGCCGGGGGUGCUUGAAGUGCGUCGCCGUGAGGCGCGCCCUAGAGCAAAACCGGUGACUGGGGCUAAGUCGUAACAAGGUAAC
RNAcentral lists this ribosomal RNA (199 nucleotides) under uncultured bacterium. RNAcentral's name for it is "partial 16S ribosomal RNA". It matches the Rfam family "Bacterial small subunit ribosomal RNA", at positions 1294 to 1500 of the family's 1533-position model. The record is from RNAcentral.